Molecule: long non-coding RNA, 1713 nt
Filed under: Sitophilus oryzae (rice weevil)
Lineage: Eukaryota; Metazoa; Arthropoda; Insecta; Coleoptera; Curculionidae
Description: uncharacterized LOC115878766
Source: RNAcentral
UGACAUAUGCCGGCCGGUCUUGCGGGGUUUUCAAAAUUUAGCUGGAAAAAAUGAUUUUAUUGUGUAAUAUUUGUUCAUAAACUUUUCCUAAGGCUCUGCUCGAGCCCCUGUAAUAACAUGUUAAUAAUAACACACACGAGUACACAGUCAUCAUGAAUCCUUUCACAGAAGAGGAGAUGGAGUGAUCUCAGAUGAGGCAGCUUAAAUUGUGAUCGGAAGUGACUGGUGAGGUUUAAUCAUUGACCAAGGAUUAACUCUAAUGCUGGAAGGUAAAUAAGCAUCGAGAGACAAAGAUUUAUGAUAAUGGAGGCCUUAUAAUAAUAGUUCAGCUCUAUCUGCAACUGCAACUUCAAAAUUAAUUAAAAAAUGACAACCAUGAAGUUUUUUUUUGAAUUUUCAAGAUUAUACAAGAACUUUGAAAAGCAUUGUCAAGAAUUUUUGUGGCAAUUAAAUGAGUUAUUUGAAUGAGAUCUAAUCCACAAAGUGAUACAAGUACUACUUCACAGAUACAACAGAAGAUGUGGAUAUUAUAGUUCAGUUACAGUUAUAUAUGAAACACACAUAACUCAAGAUUUGGAACUUUCAAUGUAUCACGCAGCAAACUGAUCUAUAAAUAAUAUUCAAUUCACUGUAUUUCUAUAAGUCUUAUUGUUUGGUAAAAUAUGCUGUUUAUUUAGAAUUUUCCUUCAUGUUGUUUAUGGUUAAAUUUCAUUUUUCUUUAAUAGCUUGACUUCUAUAUUUUGUCCCCAUUGUGGGAACAAUAGCACCAUUUAUGGAUUCUAUAAAAUAUUCCAUUGACUGUAUUUCUAUGUCUUUUUUGUUUGUAUUUUUUUCUUAUGGUGUCAUUUUUCUAAUAUUUUUGCUUUGUUGUAAUCUGCAGUUUAUUCCUGCUAAAUAUUAGCAGUUCCUUUGUUGUUCUAGAGUUAUGUCCGUGGAUUUAGGCCUUGUUAUGCCUGUACCCCUGUUUGUUUCUCCACUGGAUAGUCUCUUUUUCCCUGAUCCAGAGUUUUACUAUUUAUUACAUUUGGGUAUUCCCAUUACUGGCUCUAGACCAAGAUACAAUUCCAAUGAUCCUUGUUUUGAUAAUUCAUCAGUUGUUUUGUAGUACUUUCAUUUCUCUAUAAUACUUUGCCUCCCAUGUUUUCUUUAUUGUGAAAAUAAUAUCAUCAUUCAUUGCUUCUGUAAAAUAUUCCAUGGAUUGUAUGUCCAUAAGUCUUCUUUUAUUUGUAUUAUUUUUCUUAUGAUGUCAUACUUCUAAUACUUUUUUGCCUGUGUAAUUUCUUGCACUGAGUUUUAGUUUUGAUGAAUUUAUUUUCAGGCCAUCUGUUUCAGAUUAUAUGCCAUGAAUUGCUAUAAUUUUACGGUUCCUGUUGGUUCGGUUUGUCCGUGUUUAAAUAUAAUUUAAACACACCAUAACAUAGUUAAAAACAAUCUCAAAAUAAGGAUUAAUUUCCUAUCAAUUCCUGGCGCAUUUGCCAUUUAUUAAUAAUCUUGACUUGUCCACAGAGGAUGUCAUUUCUGGCUCUUCUACCAUUUUUUCCAAUGAAUUUUUCUGAAUAAUGUCGACUCCAGAGCAUGAUAGCUAGCCUCCCCGCAAAAGAGGAGACCCGGGUCGCCCCCUAACCCUGAUGUUCGGGCAUCGAUGACCUAUGUAGCAUGCAUAGGUACCCAAGGGAGUCACCACCCUCUGGUUUACGAGCUAGGUGUUCUAAC